GGGCCCAUGGUCUAGCGGCUAUGACAGUGCCCUUACAAUGCGAAAGCAUAAGUGAGGCAUUGAUCGCCGGUUCGAGUCCGGCUGGGCCCA
Molecule: transfer RNA, 90 nt
Filed under: Candidatus Woesearchaeota archaeon
Lineage: Archaea; Nanobdellati; Candidatus Woesearchaeota
Description: tRNA-Val
Rfam family: tRNA
About the family: Transfer RNA (tRNA) molecules are approximately 80 nucleotides in length.
Source: RNAcentral